CAGUCGCCACGGUAAUACAGAGGGUGCGAGCGUUAAUCGGAUUUACUGGGCGUAAAGCGUGCGUAGGCAGCUUUUUAAGUCGGAUGUGAAAUCCCUGAGCUUAACUUAGGAAUUGCAUUCGAUACUGGGAAGCUAGAGUAUGGGAGAGGAUGGUAGAAUUCCAGGUGUAGCGGUGAAAUGCGUAGAGAUCUGGAGGAAUACCGAUGGCGAAGGCAGCCAUCUGGCCUAAUACUGACGCUGAGGUACGAAAGCAUGGGGAGCAAACAGGAUUAGAUACCCCCGUAGUCCCUGUCUCUUAUAC
This 301-nucleotide ribosomal RNA is filed under the name uncultured bacterium. RNAcentral describes it as "partial 16S ribosomal RNA". It matches the Rfam family "Bacterial small subunit ribosomal RNA", at positions 509 to 807 of the family's 1533-position model. The record is from RNAcentral.